Molecule: ribosomal RNA, 117 nt
Filed under: archaeon
Lineage: Archaea
Also listed under: 1 other name
Source: RNAcentral
AUUGACGGCCAUACGGGCGUGGCCCCACCCGGACUCAUCUCGAACCCGGAAGUGAAACGCGUACCGGUGGUUAAUGGCACUGGGAUUUCUCCUGGAGCCGUGCCAACGCUGUCAAUC